GAUGAAGAACGUAGCAAAAUGCGAUACUUGGUGUGAAUUGCAGAAUCCCGUGAACCAUCGAGUUUUUGAAUGCAAGUUGCGCCCGAAGCCUUUUGGCCGAGGGCACGUCUGCCUGGGCGUCACGCAUCGCGUCGCCCCCCACAAUUCUUCGUAAGGGGAACUCGUGUUUUGGGGGCGGAUAUUGGUCUCCCGUGCUCACGGCGUGGUUGGCCGAAAUAGGAGUCCCUUCGAUGGACGCACGAACUAGUGGUGGUCGUAAAAACCCUCGUCUUUUGUUUUGUGCUGUUAGUCGCAAGGGAAACUCUAAGAACACCCCAACGUGUCGUCUUUUGACGGAGCUUCGACCGCGACCCCAGGUCAGGCGGGACUACCCGCUGAGUUUAAGCAUAUCAAUAAGCGGAGGA
RNAcentral lists this unclassified non-coding RNA (404 nucleotides) under soil metagenome. Its description in RNAcentral is "partial contains 5.8S ribosomal RNA, internal transcribed spacer 2, and large subunit ribosomal RNA". The stretch from base 1 to 122 matches the Rfam family "5.8S ribosomal RNA", at positions 35 to 154 of the family's 154-position model. The record is from RNAcentral.